UACGUAGGGUCCGAGCGUUGUCCGGAAUUACUGGGCGUAAAGAGCUCGUAGGUGGUUUGUCGCGUUGUUCGUGAAAACUCACAGCUCAACUGUGGGCGUGCGGGCGAUACGGGCAGACUAGAGUACUGCAGGGGAGACUGGAAUUCCUGGUGUAGCGGUGGAAUGCGCAGAUAUCAGGAGGAACACCGGUGGCGAAGGCGGGUCUCUGGGCCGGUACCGACGCUGAGGAGCGAAAGCGUGGGGAGCGAACAGG
RNAcentral lists this ribosomal RNA (253 nucleotides) under uncultured bacterium. RNAcentral describes it as "partial 16S ribosomal RNA". It matches the Rfam family "Bacterial small subunit ribosomal RNA", at positions 524 to 776 of the family's 1533-position model. The record is from RNAcentral.